GAACCAAGCGAAGAGCUAUUGAGGGCUAGAAUGAAAUAUCGUAUGUAGUGUAGAAUCAAAUCUGAAGCUCUGUACUAAGAUUGGAACAAGCAAAGAACAAGUGACCACUGACCACAAGCGGAGCUUAAGCGCUCGACAUGCAGUUAGCUCAAAACAUGUUCAUCAUGUGGCCGAGCGAAGCGCACCUGUGUGAAGCAGCCUAGCAUCACUUUAGAUAGAAGCAGAAUGGAUGACUUACAACUGAAAGUAAG
This 251-nucleotide long non-coding RNA is filed under the name Durio zibethinus. RNAcentral's name for it is "long non-coding RNA (DZIB_LNC000377)". The record is from RNAcentral. Lineage: Eukaryota; Viridiplantae; Streptophyta; Magnoliopsida; Malvales; Malvaceae.